Molecule: ribosomal RNA, 467 nt
Filed under: uncultured bacterium
Lineage: Bacteria
Description: partial 16S ribosomal RNA
Rfam family: Bacterial small subunit ribosomal RNA
Source: RNAcentral
ACGAACGCUGGCGGCGUGCUUCACCCAUGCCAGUCGAACGGAAAGGCCCUGCUUUUGUGGGGUGCUCGAGUGGCGAACGGGUGAGUAACACGUGAGUAACCUGCCCUUGACUUUGGGAUAACUUCAGGAAACUGGGGCUAAUACCGGAUAGGAGCUCCUGCUGCAUGGUGGGGGUUGGAAAGUUUCGGCGGUUGGGGAUGGACUCGCGGCUUAUCAGCUUGUUGGUGGGGUAGUGGCUUACCAAGGCUUUGACGGGUAGCCGGCCUGAGAGGGUGACCGGCCACAUUGGGACUGAGAUACGGCCCAGACUCCUACGGGAGGCAGCAGUGGGGAAUAUUGCACAAUGGGCGGAAGCCUGAUGCAGCAACGCCGCGUGCGGGAUGACGGCCUUCGGGUUGUAAACCGCUUUCGCCUGUGACCAAGCGUGAGUGACGGUAAUGGGUAAAGAAGCACCGGCUAACUACGUG